UCCCUGGUGGCUUAGAUGGUAAAGAAGCUGCCUGCAAUGCAGGAGACCCAGGUUCAAUGUCUUGGUUGGGAAG
Molecule: transfer RNA, 73 nt
Organism: Ovis aries (sheep)
Lineage: Eukaryota; Metazoa; Chordata; Mammalia; Artiodactyla; Bovidae
Rfam family: tRNA
About the family: Transfer RNA (tRNA) molecules are approximately 80 nucleotides in length. Their secondary structure includes four short double-helical elements and three loops (D, anti-codon, and T loops).
Source: Rfam